AUUGAACGCUCGCGGGAUGCUUUACACAUGCAAGUCGAACGGCAGCGCGGACUUCGGUCUGGCGGCGAGUGGCGAACGGGUGGGUAAUGUAUCGGAACGUGCCCAGUAGCGGGGGAUAACUACGCGAAAGCGUAGCUAAUACCGCAUACGCCCUACGGGGGAAAGCCGGGGAUCGUAAGACCUUGCACUAUUGGAGCGGCCGGUACCGGAUUAGCUAGUUGGUGAGGUAACGGCUCACCAAGGCGACGAUCCGUAGCUGGUUUGAGAGGACGACCAGCCACACUGGGACUGAGACACGGCCCAGACUCCUACGGGAGGCAGCAGUGGGGAAUGUUGGACAAUGGGGGCAACCCUGAUCCAGCCAUGCCGCGUGUGUGAUGAAGGCCUUCGGGUUGUAAAGCACUUUUGGCAGGAAAGAAACGUCGCGGGCGAAUACCCCGUGGAACUGACGGUACCUGCAGAAUAAGCACCGGCUAACUACGUG
This 484-nucleotide ribosomal RNA is filed under the name uncultured bacterium. RNAcentral's name for it is "partial 16S ribosomal RNA". It matches the Rfam family "Bacterial small subunit ribosomal RNA", at positions 29 to 507 of the family's 1533-position model. The record is from RNAcentral.